Molecule: ribosomal RNA, 511 nt
Filed under: uncultured archaeon
Lineage: Archaea
Description: bacterial SSU rRNA
Rfam family: Archaeal small subunit ribosomal RNA
Source: RNAcentral
ACCUCUGCAAUAGGCGAAAGCCUGACAGGGUUAUUCUGAGUGACUUUCGCUAAGAAAGUCUUUUGACACCUCUAAAAAUGGUGUAGAAUAAGGGGUGGGCAAGUCUGGUGUCAGCCGCCGCGGUAAUACCAGCACCCCGAGUGGUCGGGACGAUUAUUGGGCCUAAAGCAUCCGUAGCCGGUUUUACAAGUCCUCCGUUAAAUCCAACUGCUUAACAGAUGGGCCGCGGAGGAUACUAUAAGACUAGGAGGCAGGAGAGGCAAGCGGUACUUAGUGGGUAGGGGUAAAAUCCGUUGAUCCAUUGAAGACCACCAGUGGCGAAGGCGGCUUGCCAGAACGCACUCGACGGUGAGGGAUGAAAGCUGGGGGAGCAAACCGGAUUAGAUACCCGGGUAGUCCCAGCUGUAAACGAUGCAGACUCGGUGAUGAAUAGGCUUCGUGCCUAUUCAGUGCCGCAGGGAAGCCGUUAAGUCUGCCGCCUGGGGAGUACGGUCGCAAGACUGAAACUUAA